This 465-nucleotide ribosomal RNA is filed under the name uncultured bacterium. RNAcentral's name for it is "partial 16S ribosomal RNA". It matches the Rfam family "Bacterial small subunit ribosomal RNA", at positions 338 to 795 of the family's 1533-position model. The record is from RNAcentral.
CCUACGGGGCGCAGCAGUAGGGAAUCUUCGGCAAUGGACGAAAGUCUGACCGAGCAACGCCGCGUGAGUGAAGCAUGUUUUCGGAUCGUAAAACUCUGUUGGUAGAGAAGAACGUUGGUGAGAGUGGAAAGCUCAUCAAGUGACGGUAACUACCCAGAAAGGGACGGCUAACUACGUGCCAGCAGCCCCGGUAAUACGUAGGUCCCGCGCGUUGUCCGGAUUUUUUGGGCGUAAAGCGAGCGGCGUUGGUUUAUUAAGUCUGGUGUAAAAGGCAGUGGCGAAACCAUUGUAUGCAUUGGAAACUGGUAGACUUGAGUGCAGGAGAGGAGAGUGGAAUUCCAUGUGUAGCGGUGAAAUGCGUAGAUAUAUGGAGGAACACCGGUGGCGAAGGCGGCUCUCUGGCCUGUAACUGACACUGAGGCCCGAAAGCGUGGGGAGCAAACAGGAUUAGAUACCCGAGUAGUC